GACGAACGCUGGCGGCGUGCCUAAUACAUGCAAGUAGGACGCAGUUGCGAACGGGUGAGUAACGCGUAGGUAACUACCUAUUAGAGGGGGAUAACUAUUGGAAACGAUAGCUACUACCGCAUACUAGUAGAUGGACCUGCGUUGUAUUAGCUAGUAGGUAGGGUAAAGGCCUACCUAGGCAACGAUACAUAGCCGGACUGGGAGGGUGAUUCGGCAAACUGGGACUGGGACAAGGCCCAGACUUCUACGGGGGGGCGGCGGUGGGAAUCUUUGGGAAUUGGGGGAACCCUGACCGAGCAACGCCGCGUGAGUGAAGAAGGUUUUCGGAUCGUAAAGCUCUGUUGUUAAGGAAGCGGUACUUAACCAGAAAGGGACGGCUAACUACGUGCCAGCAGCCGCGGUAAUAC
RNAcentral lists this ribosomal RNA (407 nucleotides) under uncultured bacterium. RNAcentral's name for it is "partial 16S ribosomal RNA". It matches the Rfam family "Bacterial small subunit ribosomal RNA", at positions 28 to 526 of the family's 1533-position model. The record is from RNAcentral.